GGGUUGUGAGGUUAAGCGACUAAGCGUACACGGUGGAUGCCCUGGCAGUCAGAGGCGAUGAAGGACGUGCUAAUCUGCGAAAAGCGCCGGCGAGGUGAUAUGAACCUUUGACCCGGCGAUGUCCGAAUGGGGAAACCCAGUGCAAUCCGUUGCACUAUCGUUAACUGAAUACAUAGGUUAACGAGGCGAACCGGGGGAACUGAAACAUCUAAGUACCCCGAGGAAAAGAAAUCAACCGAGAUUCCCCCAGUAGCGGCGAGCGAACGGGGAGCAGCCCGGAGUCUGAAUCAGCUUGUGUGUUAGUGGAACGGUCUGGAAAGUCCGGCGAUACAGGGUGAUAGCCCCGUACACGAAAGCACACAUGCUGUGAACUCGAAGAGUAGGGCGGGACACGUGGUAUCCUGUCUGAAUAUGGGGGGACCAUCCUCCAAGGCUAAAUACUCCUGACUGACCGAUAGUGAACCAGUACCGUGAGGGAAAGGCGAAAAGAACCCCGGCGAGGGGAGUGAAAAAGAACCUGAAACCGUGUACGUACAAGCAGUGGGAGCCUCUUUAUGGGGUGACUGCGUACCUUUUGUAUAAUGGGUCAGCGACUUAUAUUCUGUAGCAAGGUUAACCGUAUAGGGGAGCCGAAGGGAAACCGAGUCUUAACUGGGCGUUAAGUUGCAGGGUAUAGACCCGAAACCCGGUGAUCUAGCCAUGGGCAGGUUGAAGGUUGGGUAACACUAACUGGAGGACCGAACCGACUAAUGUUGAAAAAUUAGCGGAUGACCUGUGGCUGGGGGUGAAAGGCCAAUCAAACCGGGAGAUAGCUGGUUCUCCCCGAAAGCUAUUUAGGUAGCGCCUCGUGAACUCAUCUUCGGGGGUAGAGCACUGUUUCGGCUAGGGGGCCAUCCCGGCUUACCAACCCGAUGCAAACUACGAAUACCGAAGAAUGUUAUCACGGGAGACACACGGCGGGUGCUAACGUCCGUCGUGAAGAGGGAAACAACCCAGACCGCCAGCUAAGGUCCCAAAGUCAUGGUUAAGUGGGAAACGAUGUGGGAAGGCACAGACAGCCAGGAUGUUGGCUUAGAAGCAGCCAUCAUUUAAAGAAAGCGUAAUAGCUCACUGGUCGAGUCGGCCUGCGCGGAAGAUGUAACGGGGCUAAACCAUGCACCGAAGCUGCGGCAGCGACACUAUGUGUUGUUGGGUAGGGGAGCGUUCUGUAAGCCGUUGAAGGUGUGCUGUGAGGCAUGCUGGAGGUAUCAGAAGUGCGAAUGCUGACAUAAGUAACGAUAAAGCGGGUGAAAAGCCCGCUCGCCGGAAGACCAAGGGUUCCUGUCCAACGUUAAUCGGGGCAGGGUGAGUCGACCCCUAAGGCGAGGCCGAAAGGCGUAGUCGAUGGGAAACAGGUUAAUAUUCCUGUACUUGGUGUUACUGCGAAGGGGGGACGGAGAAGGCUAUGUCAGCCGGGCGACGGUUGUCCCGGUUUAAGCAUGUAGGCGGAGGUUCCAGGUAAAUCCGGUACCUUGUUAACGCUGAGGUGUGAUGACGAGGCACUACGGUGCUGAAGUGAUAAAUGCCCUGCUUCCAGGAAAAGCCUCUAAGCAUCAGGUAACACGAAAUCGUACCCCAAACCGACACAGGUGGUCAGGUAGAGAAUACCAAGGCGCUUGAGAGAACUCGGGUGAAGGAACUAGGCAAAAUGGUGCCGUAACUUCGGGAGAAGGCACGCUGAUAUGUAGGUGAAGCCCCUGCGGGCGGAGCUGAAAUCAGUCGAAGAUACCAGCUGGCUGCAACUGUUUAUUAAAAACACAGCACUGUGCAAACACGAAAGUGGACGUAUACGGUGUGACGCCUGCCCGGUGCCGGAAGGUUAAUUGAUGGGGUUAGCGGCAACGCGAAGCUCUUGAUCGAAGCCCCGGUAAACGGCGGCCGUAACUAUAACGGUCCUAAGGUAGCGAAAUUCCUUGUCGGGUAAGUUCCGACCUGCACGAAUGGCGUAAUGAUGGCCAGGCUGUCUCCACCCGAGACUCAGUGAAAUUGAACUCGCUGUGAAGAUGCAGUGUACCCGCGGCAAGACGGAAAGACCCCGUGAACCUUUACUAUAGCUUGACACUGAACACUGGUCCUUGAUGUGUAGGAUAGGUGGGAGGCUUUGAAGCGUGGACGCCAGUCUGCGUGGAGCCAACCUUGAAAUACCACCCUUUAAUGGCUGGUGUUCUAACGUAGACCCGUAAUCCGGGUUGCGGACAGUGUCUGGUGGGUAGUUUGACUGGGGCGGUCUCCUCCCAAAGAGUAACGGAGGAGCACGAAGGUUGGCUAAUCCUGGUCGGACAUCAGGAGGUUAGUGCAAUGGCAUAAGCCAGCUUGACUGCGAGCGUGACGGCGCGAGCAGGUGCGAAAGCAGGUCAUAGUGAUCCGGUGGUUCUGAAUGGAAGGGCCAUCGCUCAACGGAUAAAAGGUACUCCGGGGAUAACAGGCUGAUACCGCCCAAGAGUUCAUAUCGACGGCGGUGUUUGGCACCUCGAUGUCGGCUCAUCACAUCCUGGGGCUGAAGUAGGUCCCAAGGGUAUGGCUGUUCGCCAUUUAAAGUGGUACGCGAGCUGGGUUUAGAACGUCGUGAGACAGUUCGGUCCCUAUCUGCCGUGGGCGCUGGAGAAUUGAGGGGGGCUGCUCCUAGUACGAGAGGACCGGAGUGGACGCAUCACUGGUGUUCGGGUUGUCAUGCCAAUGGCACUGCCCGGUAGCUAAAUGCGGAAGAGAUAAGUGCUGAAAGCAUCUAAGCACGAAACUUGCCCCGAGAUGAGUUCUCCCUGAGACUUUAAGUCUCCUGAAGGAACGUUGAAGACUACGACGUUGAUAGGUCGGGUGUGUAAGCGCAGCGAUGCGUUGAGCUAACCGAUACUAAUGAACCGUGAGGCUUAACCUUACAACGCCGAAGCUGUU
RNAcentral lists this ribosomal RNA (2931 nucleotides) under Enterobacter hormaechei. Its description in RNAcentral is "23S ribosomal RNA". It matches the Rfam family "Bacterial large subunit ribosomal RNA". Lineage: Bacteria; Pseudomonadati; Pseudomonadota; Gammaproteobacteria; Enterobacterales; Enterobacteriaceae. The record is from RNAcentral.